AUUCAUUGUCGGGCUUGGAGGCUAGCCAGAUGCCGGAGGCGAUGACGGGUAUGGAGCAGAGAAAGGCUAUGAAGUUGAGAACUGCUGUUAGGUUGUUGGCGACGGCCAUUGAUGGCGGUUGGAGUGGAAAGUGAGAGAGAGAGAGAGAGAGAGAGAGAGAGAGAGAGAGAGAGAGUUGAUGGCUGUGGUGUUGGGUGUCUCAAGAUUGGGGUUUUUGGAGUUUUGUAUGUAUGAGAUGGCGCAAACACGGAAUACCAGACUCUG
RNAcentral lists this long non-coding RNA (264 nucleotides) under Carica papaya (papaya). RNAcentral's name for it is "long non-coding RNA (CPAP_LNC002364)". The record is from RNAcentral. Lineage: Eukaryota; Viridiplantae; Streptophyta; Magnoliopsida; Brassicales; Caricaceae.